RNAcentral lists this ribosomal RNA (250 nucleotides) under uncultured bacterium. RNAcentral describes it as "partial 16S ribosomal RNA". It matches the Rfam family "Bacterial small subunit ribosomal RNA", at positions 524 to 773 of the family's 1533-position model. The record is from RNAcentral.
UACGUAGGUGGCAAGCGUUGUCCGGAAUCAUUGGGCGUAAAGAGCGCGUAGGUGGCUUGUCAGGUCUGGUGUGAAAUUUCGGGGCUCAACCCCGAACCUGCAUCGGAAACCGGCUUGCUAGAGUCUGGGAGAGGAGAGUGGAAUUCCUGGUGUAGCGGUGAAAUGCGUAGAUAUCAGGAGGAACACCGGUAGCGAAGGCGGCUCUCUGGAACAGUACUGACGCUGAGGCGCGAAAGCUAGGGGAGCGAAC